GGUUCUCUACCUGGCCAGCGCCAUGUUGCCUGUUUCUUUACUGUACACAUGGUGACAAAGAAAAGCGAAGAUGGAGCCUCCAUGUUGAACCUACCUGGCCCCCAGAACGAUGUGUACUUGAAAACAGUACACUCUUGCACAGCUGUCCCUGGAGCUUCCCCGUGGAGCUGUUAAACUUGCCCUCCGCUGGCUGUUUUCCACAAAGUAAUAUGGUUACAUAGAUUCACGGCUCAUGGCAAUGUUUCAUUAAGACAGUUCUUGAUGGCCGCUCCACACCUUUCUCACCACAUCUCACAGGCUGCCCUGCUGAGCCAGGUCUCCCUGGAACCCGGGGCUCCUGCGCAGGCCCCCAUUUUGCUCCAGAACACCCAGGAAGGCGGGGCUUGGGCUGGAAUGGGGACACCGAUUACCCUCUGUUCAGGCCUUUGGUGCCAGCUGAGGUCGAUACUGGUGCCAGGAUCGAGACUGUGCGCAUCCCAUCGAGAGCGGGCAGAUGUGGGGGCGCACUGGACCGGGCCUCCCAGGCUGACACCCAUUCACAGCAGCCUGAGCCUAAUCCGCCACUGCUCGCCUUCCUCCGACGUCUCCACCUAAACCAUCCUUCUGCACAUUGUGACCCAUCACUCCGCCCUUUGUCCACACAUCUCCUUCCCCACACCCACAACGCGGUGGUCCCUGCCCCACAAUGCAACGGAAACCUUGCGGAGUGCUAGGCGGAAGCUGCGAGGCCUGUGUAGACACUGCCUCCGCAGGGCUGGCGCACUCCUCCGAGGGCCGACUGAGGGGUGGGUUUUUUAAGUUGCAAAAUAAAAGUUAUCGCCUGUGGGCCCUGAAGGCCUCUUUUCCACUGGAUGACAGGAAUGUGUUUGUUCAGAGAUUGUAGUCUCCCUGAACUGGAAGGGACUUUAGAAACGGUCUAUUACAACACUCUCCUCCUACAUAGAGUUGGAGAAAUUUCACCCAUGGCUGGGCAGAAUCAGGGAGGCUUACCCUUUGGUACUACAGUUUUUGGCAUUACUGCAGGAACAUAGUGUCCCAGCCAUAAUGUUAGGUAGUUAGACAUUAGCAGCUGGGAGGGGGCGAGAGAGGAGGGCAGAAGGGCUAUCACUAAGACAGGCCCUGGCCCACCUAAGUUCAGCCCCCAAGACCACCCUAACUCCACCCUGAUAGAUGCAGCUUGUGGUAAAGUCUGUGGCCAGCACAUCCUGGAG
This 1211-nucleotide long non-coding RNA is filed under the name Homo sapiens (human). RNAcentral describes it as "HSALNT0345326". Lineage: Eukaryota; Metazoa; Chordata; Mammalia; Primates; Hominidae. The record is from RNAcentral.